RNAcentral lists this unclassified non-coding RNA (408 nucleotides) under soil metagenome. RNAcentral's name for it is "partial contains 5.8S ribosomal RNA, internal transcribed spacer 2, and large subunit ribosomal RNA". The stretch from base 1 to 121 matches the Rfam family "5.8S ribosomal RNA", at positions 35 to 154 of the family's 154-position model. The record is from RNAcentral.
GAUGAAGAACGUAGCGAAAUGCGAUAAGUAGUGUGAAUUGCAGAAGUACCGUGAAUCAUCGAAUCUUUGAACGCAAAUUGCACUCUCUGGUAUUCCGGGGAGUAUGCCUGUUUGAGGGUCGCUUAACAAACCAUCGAUUUCGUUGCUUUUUUUUUUAAAGUGAUGUUUAUCGGCUUUGAGCCGUCUUUUUUUUUAUAUUUAAGUGGCUUAAAAUUGAUUUUUUUGGUACGAACGAAGCGUAUUUUUAUGAUCAAUUUUUGGUUAAAGAAACGCACACGUACCGUUAUUUAUAUGAUGUAAUACGUUUGACUAUUGGAUUUAGUUCAUUCGUAUACGAUAUCUUUCAAUAUUUGACCUCAAAUCAGGUAAGAACACCCGCUGAACUUAAGCAUAUCAAUAAGCGGAGGA